UUGGCCUCGGAUCAGGUGGGGAUACCCGCUGAACUUAAGCAUAUCAAUAAGCGGAGGAAAAGAAACCAACAGGGAUUGCCUCAGUAACGGCGAGUGAAGCGGCAACAGCUCAAAUUUGAAAUCUGGCUCACGCCCGAGUUGUAAUUUGUAGAGGAUGCUUCGGGUGAAGCCGCGGUCCAAGUCCCUUGGAACAGGACGUCAUAGAGGGUGAGAACCCCGUACCUGGCCGCCGGUGCCCCCCGCUGUGAAGCUCCUUCGACGAGUCGAGUUGUUUGGGAAUGCAGCUCUAAAUUGGUGGUAAAUUCCAUCUAAAGCUAAAUACCGGCCAGAGACCGAUAGCGCACAAGUAGAGUGAUCGAAAGAUGAAAAGCACUCUGGAAAGAGAGUCAAAAAGUACGUGAAAUUGUUGAAAGGGAAGCGCUUGCAACCAGACCUGCCUGCAGUUGUUCAUCCGGGCUUUUGCCCGGUGCACUCUUCUGCUGUCAGGCCAGCAUCAGUUCGGGCGGUCGGAUAAAGGCUUUGGGAAUGUAGCUCCUCUCGGGGAGUGUUGUAGCCCGUUGCGAGAUGCGGCCAGCCUGGACUGAGGUCCGCGCUCGGCUAGGAUGC
Molecule: ribosomal RNA, 606 nt
Filed under: uncultured ectomycorrhiza (cf. Helicoon)
Lineage: Eukaryota; Fungi; Ascomycota; Orbiliomycetes; Orbiliales
Description: eukaryotic LSU rRNA
Rfam family: Eukaryotic large subunit ribosomal RNA
Source: RNAcentral